CCUACGGGGGGCUGCAGUGGGGAAUAUUGCACAAUGGGCGAAAGCCUGAUGCAGCAACGCCGCGUGAGCGAUGAAGGCCUUUGGGUCGUAAAGCUCUGUCCUUGGGGAAGAAACAAAUGACGGUACCCUUGGAGGAAGCCCCGGCUAACUACGUGCCAGCAGCCGCGGUAAUACGUAGGGGGCGAGCGUUAUCCGGAAUUAUUGGGCGUAAAGAGUGCGUAGGUGGCCAUGUAAGCGCGGGGUGAAAGGCAAUAGCUUAACUAUUGUAAGCCUUG
This 275-nucleotide ribosomal RNA is filed under the name uncultured Anaerovorax sp. Its description in RNAcentral is "partial 16S ribosomal RNA". It matches the Rfam family "Bacterial small subunit ribosomal RNA", at positions 338 to 628 of the family's 1533-position model. The record is from RNAcentral. Lineage: Bacteria; Bacillati; Bacillota; Clostridia; Peptostreptococcales; Anaerovoracaceae.